This 76-nucleotide transfer RNA is filed under the name Combretum indicum (Rangoon creeper). RNAcentral's name for it is "tRNA-His". Lineage: Eukaryota; Viridiplantae; Streptophyta; Magnoliopsida; Myrtales; Combretaceae. The record is from RNAcentral.
GAUUGUGACGAGCAUUUGCUGCUGCAGAAUAAACCAAUUUUAAAAUGGGAUAACACCUAGUUCACGUGCAGCGCUA